CAUGUGAAGAUUUGAAAUAUUUUAAUGUCCACUGAGCUUAACCAAUAAAAAAAUAACGACAGUUUUGCCGAAACAUUUUUAAGACGUUUGACUGAAAUAAAUGGAAAUAAAAAGAUUGUGAUUCAAGGAUUGUGCUGACGUUUUGGACUUAUAUUAUUAUAUUAUUAUGUUAUGUUUUAUUACCUUCAAUGCAAUUUAAUACAACUUAUCACAAUUC
Molecule: long non-coding RNA, 217 nt
Organism: Mytilus californianus (California mussel)
Lineage: Eukaryota; Metazoa; Mollusca; Bivalvia; Mytilida; Mytilidae
Exons: 2
Source: RefSeq, a predicted model, not a curated record